GAGCUUCCUUGACGAUGACCAGAUAGAGGCUGGUUGGGUUCUCACUUGUGUUGCUUUUCCUCAGUCUGAUGUUGUCGUUGAGACACACAAGGAAGCUGAGCUUACUGGUUAAGUCAAACCCCGAUUCUUGUUUUCUAGGUCUGUUGGUUUCUGGCUUAGUUUGUUCUUCGGAACAUGAUUGUUAUGUUUCUUUUUAAAGUUUGUAGUCACAAACAGAACUCUUUUAGCUUACUAAUGUUCCUAUAUAUGUGGGUGUUCUCUCUCUCUCUUUCUCUCUCUUAUUUACAACAACCUAAUAAGGGGUGGAAGCAAUCCUAACAGACCACAAGUAUGAUAAAGGUGAGGACCUGAGAUACAAAACCACUUCUUUCCUCCCUCAUGUUACUAAGAACAACAAGCGGAAAACAACAAUAAAAAUACAGGAAAAGAAUUAGAAUUAAAAAAAAUAAGGAGAGAAGGCAUGGUACUAUGUUAUUCAUCCUACCUCAUGAAGUCAAACUCACAUG
RNAcentral lists this unclassified non-coding RNA (506 nucleotides) under Hevea brasiliensis (rubber tree). Lineage: Eukaryota; Viridiplantae; Streptophyta; Magnoliopsida; Malpighiales; Euphorbiaceae. The record is from RNAcentral.